Carassius auratus (goldfish) is the source of this 611-nucleotide long non-coding RNA. RefSeq lists it as uncharacterized. The record is from RefSeq and is a predicted model, not a curated record. The transcript has 5 exons. NCBI's taxonomy places the organism in Eukaryota, Metazoa, Chordata, Actinopteri, Cypriniformes, Cyprinidae.
UGUAAGCAACUGCUGUAUCUGGUAUGCCAUACCCAUCAGAACUCAGGUAAGGAUGCCUCAUAAGAUAGGCUUCACUGUGAUCAGCUGGUCUGGGAAUGAAGGAAACGACAUUGCCAAAUAUCUGAUGGUCCACGCGCCCACUGUCAGUGGCUGGAGAUCCACCAGGCAUGUGUCCCUCUCUGACAACGUGAAGACUGGAGAGAGAGCUGAAGUCUGUUCAUGUUGAUGCUGUUGGGUCUUACUUAAAGCUCACUUUUCACAGAAACCAUGUUAAUCAAUACAGCAUCUACAAUCAGGUUGCAUUGGUGGCCAUAAAUAUUUUGGGUGACUCUGUGGAUGGACAUGAAAUGGGGAUGGAAGUGGGCGAGCGUUUGGGCUUGUAUGAUGUAGAGAAACACAGUGCCAUAAAACGAGAGGACUAUGACACAGCCAAGCAGAAAAAGGAAAAAAAAUGGAAGUUUACAGGCUCAAAGUCUACAAACAGCUGGAGGUCCUUGACCUGCUGGACAUCAGUCAGGUGAGCAUCCAUCCGUUCAUCUGUCCACAUAUACACUAAUGUUCAAAAUUUUGGGUUCAAUAAGAUUUUAAAUAAGUAAAGAAAAUAAAUACUU